RNAcentral lists this ribosomal RNA (207 nucleotides) under uncultured bacterium. Its description in RNAcentral is "partial 16S ribosomal RNA". It matches the Rfam family "Bacterial small subunit ribosomal RNA", at positions 568 to 774 of the family's 1533-position model. The record is from RNAcentral.
CACGUAGGCGGACCAUUAAGUUGGGGGUGAAAUCCCGGGGCUCAACCCCGGAACUGCCUUCAAAACUGCUGGUCUUGAGGUCGAGAGAGGUGAGUGGAAUUCCGAGUGUAGAGGUGAAAUUCGUAGAUAUUCGGAGGAACACCAGUGGCGAAGGCGGCUCACUGGCUCGAAUCUGACGCUGAGGUGCGAAAGCGUGGGGAGCAAACA